This is a non-coding RNA of Salmo salar (Atlantic salmon), 332 nucleotides long. NCBI's taxonomy places the organism in Eukaryota, Metazoa, Chordata, Actinopteri, Salmoniformes, Salmonidae. The record is from RefSeq and is a predicted model, not a curated record.
UGUCUCAGUCCCAGAGGUGUGUGGUCUCAGCCCCAGAGGUGUGUGGUCUCAGUCCCAGAGGUGUGUGGUCUCAGUCCCAGAGGUGUGUGGUCUCAGUCCCAGAGGUGUGUGGUCUCAGUCCCAGAGGUGUGUGGUCUCAGUCCCAGAGGUGUGUGGUCUCAGUAGUCCCAGAGGUGUGUGGUCUGCUCCAGUGUCUCAGUCCCAGAGGUGUGUGGUCUCCUCCAGUGUCUCAGUCCCAGAGGUGUGUGGUCUCAGCCCCAGAGGUGUGUGGUCUCAGUCCCAGAGGUGUGUGGUCUCAGCCCCAGAGGUGUGUGGUCUCAGCCCCAGAGGUG